CACAACACCUUGCAGAUCUGCUAUGUGUAUUGUGGCAUCCCACCCCGUAAACCUCGGCCCGGACCAGCCCGAGGGUUGGUCCGGGAUGGCCGUUACCGCCGUCACCCACCAGCCGGCGACGGAGAGCGCCGACCGAAGCCCAAUCAGCGUGAUUGGGGGCCACCUGGCCGAAAGCCGAGGAGCCACUAUAAGAGGACUGACAUUUGGGCAGACCAGGCACGGGAGUGAGGAAGGAGGAAGCGCUCGUGUCCGCGAGAGGCCAGAGGCCCACGGAGGCCCUAGAGACCGCGUUUACUUUGUUUGAUUUAAGUUGUCUGCAAUAAAUGCCUUUAAUGGCUUAACCCACACUGCCAAGCGUGAUUUAUCCGUGGAACCCGGCUCAAUCGAGGAGCGGGUUGCCACAGUAUUUAUGUAUUUUUAUUUAUCUGUGAAACCAUGUCAACUACAUGUAUUGCCUCAACUAUUCAAAUGUUGGCCUGAAAAGGUUGCGAACCACUGAUGUACAAUACAGCCAGGUCAGAGGUAUAUGUAUUUUCUAUUUCAUACAGUAUUUGUACAUUUAGUGAUUUUUCUUUUUCUAUUACAGGUAACUGCUGCUGAGGUUGCUCAUGUCUAUCACACAGUCAAGCACAAUUUGAGCUUCAACUCCUCCGACUGUCAGUUCAAAUUGACCGCCCAAACACUCCCUGACUCCGCUAUUGCAAAGAAGAUGUCCUGUGGGAGGACAAAGGCUGAGGCAGUGGUUACUGAUGUCCUGGCACCAAAAGCAGUAGAAGAUGUGCUCACCAAGUUGAAAGGAGAUGGCACGCCGCUCCAAUUCUCUCUACAAACUGACGCCUCCAAUAAGGGCAACCGCAAGAUGUUCCCUUUAGCCGUUCAGUUUUUCACUCCAGAGGAGGGCAUUUAAAAGAAGCUGAUAGACUUUGUUGAAAAUCCGGAUGAGUCUUCCCAAGGUAUAGUUGAUUCCAUCCAAUGCUCUCUGGACAAAACAGGUCUAGCUUUGGAUUUUUCUGCAUUCAGUGCAGACAUUGCCAAUCGUGUCAGGCAGGAGUUCACAGCCUUCUUAGACACUGCCAUUGGUUAUGUGCGCAAGUGGUUCAACUUCUCUGACGACAACUGGCACUUUCACGUGGAACCACUCUGUCUGACAUCUGGGAAGAUCUCCUACAACGACAUGGAGAAGAUCAUUGAGAAGCUACACCUAGUUGACAGGUAUGUAGCAAACACACUGUACCACUGACUCCCUUUACUGGCAUAUAAUGCCAAGGAAUAAUAAUUUGCACCUGAUUCCAGUCUACUAAUCACUACCAGUGAUUUUAAUAACAUUUUGUCAAAUGAUUUUAAUGAGUGCCUCAGUUUUUAAUAAUGCCGAUAGCUGUGAACUGAAAGCCAUUUCAUCUUUAUUGACAGGCUUAACCUCUCUAUGGAUGAGCUCUACGAUGAGUGUGUUACAGCAAACGGCGUCUUCGGUCACCUCAAAGGGCGUCAGGAUUGGCCGCCAAAGGAACAGCUGAGAAGUGAGUGGAAGUGCUAAGCGGCUGGGCAGCUGACCUUCCAAACAUCCUGGCUGUGGUGGCCUUUGUUCUCAGCAUCCCAUCCUCUACUGGCAAAUCGAAAAAAAUGCAGAGGCCCGGCAGACUGGAGGGGGUCCACCACCUGCAGCCCUCACAGAGGCUGAGGAGAUGGCCCUCAGCCAACAGAGUAUGCGUCCUGUGGCUGAGGGCAUCCCUGGGGGGAGCUCCUCUGAUCCCCCCCCCACCCCCCAGGAUAGAAGUGCCUUUACAGUAUAAGAGUUACUGAUGGCGUCAUCGCCCUACUUGAACCAGAUGCCCUCACCAACCGCCAUGCAAUUGUAACAAUUCAAAAGAUGCAAAAGGAUGCUUUGGAGAUCCAAAUUUUGGAACAUAAAUUAUAGGUGGGUGAGGUGCAAACUGGGAUACUGUUCCCUGCUCUAAAAACAUACCCAAUAUAAAUGACUUUUUUUUUUUUGUGCUUUCAGGAAAUAAAAAAAUCCUCAUAAGUAGAUUGUCUUUAUUAGAACACGGGCUGUGGUGGGACAAGUUAUUUUGUUGAACAGUUUACUCAAAGGGUUUUACUUCAGUGAACAAUGCAGACGAUUAUGCUGAGCAUGUGCAUGUAGAGAAGAACAGCAUCUGGUUAAAAGCAGUACCAGGGUCUUUUCUGCCUUGCAUUCUUAAAAUGAGUUUCUUGACUUGCAGCAGUUAUAGGUCCGUGGUUAGUCAGCUACUCUGAUCAUGGGAAAGCCACAACGUUGAAGUGACUGUAGUAGGCCUACAGAGCGGGUGGGAUGCACGGGGCGGAUCAUUCUGCACAUGCGUUAAUUGCGAUAAAAAAUAAAUAAAUAAACUUAAAGCAUGCCCCCGGUGCGUUUGACAGUUAACAUGGGGGCUGAGAAGGUGGUCUAAAUAAAUGAUAGAUUGCGCUGAAAAACGAUAGCGCUCGUGAAGAAAAUUAUCAGGAAAAUAAAGUAUAUCCAACCGGGGUCUUAAUAAUCGUUCCUCACGGAGAUUCCUUCUGAGGAUCGCAGCCUCUACGUCCACAGGCUCUCGUAGAAAAGGACAUGCCAUUUCUAACACUUCCUUCUGUCGGAGAGCUGCCUUCAGCCUUAUAGACAACAAACUCGGAGUAGGUCUGACCACCUCCCGAGCAGGUUAGACCCACGGCGUAUGUUGCCGCAGCAACUAACUCUCGGUUGUGCUGAACCUGCUACCUGAAACGGAAAACCCAGAGUUUCCACUAACUCAGAGCGAACAAACUCGGGGUUGCCUCAAAACCAGCUACUUGAAACAGGGCUCAGGGAAGUAUAUUGUAUUUAUGUUUGUUUAUUUUAUUGUUCGACCGGCUGCUUUAAUGUGCAUACUUUUGCUGGCUACCCAGGUGUUGUCAUGGCUUUGGAGGCCCAGCAAGUUUUGUGUUUACAGUUUGUGAUAUAUAAGUGCUAGUUUACAUUUCAUGUUUUUGUUCCAAUUUGUGAUCAUAUUGCACUGUUUUUGUUUACAGUUAAUUUAAGUGCUUACAGUUUGUGAUCAAUUUUGCACUAGGUGUUUUUAUACUUUUGUUAGGCCUAAGAGGCCAAAUGUUUGCACUACUACUGUUCCAUUAAGAAACGCAAUACUACUGUUCCAAUUUUUUUUUUUUUUUUAACAAAAUACUGGAACUGUUUCUUGUGUUGUCUGUAUAUACUGCAAAUACAAAACUGAAGUUAAGGUAUGUGUCUUUAGUACAUGCUUAUUAUAGAUGUGGUUUUUUACUUGAUUAUGGUAUGAAUUAUUAAAUGGAUAGGACUUGCUACAGUAAGUCUAGCACAGUAGUAACACUGUAGUAGUGGUAACACAGUAGUAGCAAAUGCAUGCGUGUACACAUGCGUGUGCGCGCGCUUUGUGCGCGUGCAUGUGUCCCUUAUUUACAUUUCUGAUAGUUGGCAACCCUAGCUGCCACCCACUUCCCUGAAGCUAUGCCCCUGCGUAAAAUAACAGCCAGUGCUGUAGUGAAGGCUUCGGUCUCCCACUUGUAAUCCAGACUGAUCAAGGCUCAAAUUUCCAGUUCAGGCUUUUCAAUCAGGUGCUUGAAACUUUAAAUGUACGACAUGUUGUGUCCAGUGCGUACCAACCCGAAACUCAGGGUGCCUUGGAACGGUGGCACCAGACAUUCAAAUCCAUGCUACGUAAUUAUUGCUUGGAAACCGAGAAGGGCUGGGAUGAGGGACUCCCAUUAGUGGUGUUUACUGCUCGUGAGGCUGUCCAGGAAUCAUUAGGAUUUAGUCCCGCGGAGCUUGUUUUUGGCCACAUGCCCCGCGGGUCCCCUUAAAACUUGACAUGAUGUCGCGUUUUUGAAGAAGUAGUCCAAUCCUUGGUCGCUUUUAACUCACUUUAUUUGUUUAAGUAUUUCGGUAUGGUAACUAUGAAGCAAAAGGGAGGGAAUUGUAUCCAACACCCAUGUGAGCUACGUCGAGCCCCGGGCUUAGGCCCGGGUCUCUCUGCGGGUCUGCCUAGGUCUCUGAACUCUAAUCUCAAUGCCGCGGUGGUUAGGGUCAAGGGGGCGUGGCCGGUGUGACGUAAUGGUGCUGCCAUCUGUGGCUGGAGUAGUUAUUGCAGCUUAUGUGUUCAAUCCUGCUUCCUAGUGGCUAUGUGAGGGUACGUUUUUUUGAUAAGUUUCUGGUGUCCGGCAUGUCUGAGAAAAAUGUGUUGGACUUUGUUAAUCAACUUCAAAAUUGCACCAUGCCAAUGCCUUAGCCAAAGAGUCCCUCUCAACCUCCCACACAGUAAUGAAACACCACUACGAUCGCUCUGCUGUUCCCCGGCGCUUCAAAGUGGGUGAUAAGGUCUUAGCAUUGCUGCCUAUUCCUGGCUCCGCUCUCUCGGCCAAAUUCUCCGGUCCUUAUGAGAUUUGUGACUUUCUCAGUGACACCGAUUAUGUCAUUGGCACAUCCGAGAGAAGGCGAAAAACACGUGUCUGUCAUGUCAAUAUGUUAAAGCUGUACCAUUGCAGGGAGAAGACGGAGAGCAGUCCAGUAGACCUUACGUCCUCCCGAACCGCUGCUAGCCAAGGCAUCUCCGCGCUAAUUGUAACGGAUCACCCUAACCUAUCAGAAGCUGACGACUGGAUGCGUAAUUCCACCCAUUGUUGGGAAAAAAUAACCUGCUGAGUACAUCACAUGUACAUUACAAAUAUAGCUAACUCCUACCCUAGCCUGAUGAGCACAUCACAUGGCAGUCACAUUACAAUAUAGUCAACUUUUAACACAUAACACAAACAUGAUAAUAUAGUCAGGUCAAGGCCAGAGCCAAGGCCCCAUUUCCCAAGCAGGCAAAUGGUAAACACUCAGACAAUGCAACAGUCAUCCUCAAGAACGGGAGAGCCACAUUAAUUCAUCACACAAGAGAUACUUCGAGCACACAAGAGAUACUUCGAGAACAAAGGAGACACUGAGGAGCUCUUCCCCGUUAGUAGGAACACAAGAAGAUACACUUGCAUACACCAGGGCCUGGGAGCCAAGGUCAAGCAAAAACACACAGAACCACACACACCUCAAACGCACACACCUCAUCGAGAGGAGGAUACAGCAUAAAACUGUAUCACACAGAGACUCUUCUUCUUCUUCUGAAGCAGACCUUCCACGGAGGCGAAGCUCCGGACGAACCAUCAGCGCUGAUUAGGGACUUAGACAUAUUCGAUUUCUCACGCUUUAUGACUCUGUAUAACCGUUGCCACUUUACUUAAUAAAUCCAAGGUCCUCGUGCCGACAGACUUUAUUAACUCUCCGUCUCAUUUUAUCUGGUCCAGUAACUAGACAGACCGUUUUUUCCCCUUCACCAUCAAGGUGCCCGCCUCCCAAAUUCGGAGAUGUUGAAAACACUGCCAUCUCAGUCAAGUCACCUGACUACUGAGCAGCAGCAGGAUGUAGUGGACUUUGUAUACCGCUUUGCUGGUCUCUUUAAUGAUGUUCCGACUCAAACCACUGUCUUAAGGCAUGACAUUGAACUGAAAGAGCAGAAAGAUCUGCUCCCUAUUAAACAGCAUCCCUACUGCGCUAAUCAGGUGAAGCGUGAGUUAAUGAAAACAGAAGUGGAAUAUCUUCUGCAGAAUGGUCUGGCCACAACAGGGGCACCAGCCCCUGGAGCUCUCCCUGCCUCGUCGAAGCUAAGUCUGACGGUUCCCCAAGGUUUAUUACUCAUUUCCGUAAAGUAAAUGCUGUUACUGUUCAGGACUCGUAACCCCUACUUCGGAUGGUUACUCGUUUGUUUCUCCUGACCAGUUCUUACAGUAUACCGUCAUGGCGUUUGGCAUGUGCAACGCACCGGCCACCUUUCAGAGAUUAGCGAACACUGUUUUGGUCGGGUUACCUAAGUGUAAUGCCUACCUUAACGAUCUGAUUAUUUGGACAAGCAAUUGGGAGGAACACAUGCAGGGCCUUGAACAAGUUUUCAGUCUGCUCGCUCAAGCGCCACUUACACUGAACCUAGCUAAAUGAGACUUUGGGAAAGCCACUGUCACGUAUCUAGGGAGACAGGUGGGGCAAGGCCAAGAGUGCCCUGUGGAAGCCGAAGUCUCAGCCAUAACAGAGUCCCGUUUCGACCACUAGAAAAGCCCUUCGUCAGUUCCUAGGAAUGGCAGGUUACUACAGGAGUUUGUCGCAUUUUUUCAGUUUCAGUUUUCACUGAUCAUAACCCGCUUGUUUUCCUGCCCGCAUGUACAAUCACAAUCGGCGUCUCAUGCCGUCGGCCCUGUUUGUGCAAGACUACAACUAAGAAAUCCGGCAUAAAAAGGUUCUGAGAAUGUAUUUAUUUAUCUAGAUUAUAGUUGUUCCUGAGGUUGGGUGGUUGUAACUUGCAAACCUUAUAGGGUGUAUUUUAAGGUUGGGGGUGUUACAGCCACCGCUGAUUGUUUGUGUGUAACUGUCUCUGUUUGUAGUGGUAUGCUUACCAGGCUGUGUGGUUCCUUGCUGAGGGACUGGGCCCAGUUUCCCGAAAGCAUCGUUAGCCUAAGUCAGGGAUGGGCAAAUUUCAUGAUAAAGAGGGCCACAUUUUUCAUCAUAACCAUCGGAGGGCCACAUGACUGCACACUUCAACUAAACGUGAGCUGAGAGAAGCUACACAAUUUUGAAUUUGGUAGAUAUGAUUUCCUGUAUUCUGGUGCAUUUUGGGGAUGGCCACUACCUAAAAAAUCAUCCAGAAUCAUAAACUAUGUACGGUAUGUUAAUUGAACCAACAUACAUUCAUUUCAUGUUUUCCAUGCUCAAACAGCCACAUGAAUGGUCAGUAUUUGUAUCAGUGCAAAGGGCUCACAUACAUCAUUCAAUGAAGUCAAAAAACUGAAAAACAGUGGCCCAACAUUAAGUGCAACAACUCAAUGAACUCAAACCCAACAAGCAGUUGUAGUAGUUGUAGUGGCGACUUAAGUUAAUCUUUAAUGACUGAUAUCGCUUCUAAGCAAACUAGAUGCAUGGGUUUGCCUUCGAAUUCUAUGAAUUCUUCUCAUCUUUCUUGACCGAGUUUUCUGUAACUCGAUCAAUUAUUAUUAUUCUUUUUUUUAUUUUUUUUAUUAUGUGCGGGCCUGACUGAGUGAGGAUGCGGGCCGCACUGAGUGAGGAUGCGGGCCGCCAGUUGCCCAUCCCUGGCCUAAGUGGAUCGUGAAGUGCGUCGUACGAGCAUCGUACGUUUCCCGAAAGCAUCGUUGGUAACGAACGUCGUGAAAACGCUCGUAGCUAACGAGGACUCCAGUGCCGUGUUCCA
Molecule: long non-coding RNA, 7253 nt
Organism: Gadus chalcogrammus (walleye pollock)
Lineage: Eukaryota; Metazoa; Chordata; Actinopteri; Gadiformes; Gadidae
Exons: 3
Source: RefSeq, a predicted model, not a curated record